UAAAAAGAUAGGACUUGAACCUACCCCUCAGGGAUCAAAACCCCAAAUGCACCCUCUACACCACUUUUUA
This 70-nucleotide transfer RNA is filed under the name Pseudotriton montanus (mud salamander). Its description in RNAcentral is "tRNA-Gln". The record is from RNAcentral. Lineage: Eukaryota; Metazoa; Chordata; Amphibia; Caudata; Plethodontidae.